AUUAAGAUGGCAGAGCCCGGUUAAUUGCAAAAGGCCUAAGCCCUUUCCGCCGGAGGUUCAAGUCCUCCUCUUAAUU
RNAcentral lists this transfer RNA (76 nucleotides) under Silurus asotus (Amur catfish). RNAcentral describes it as "tRNA-Leu". It matches the Rfam family "tRNA". Rfam says of the family: Transfer RNA (tRNA) molecules are approximately 80 nucleotides in length. The record is from RNAcentral. Lineage: Eukaryota; Metazoa; Chordata; Actinopteri; Siluriformes; Siluridae. RNAcentral also lists the same sequence under 1 other name.